UUAGCCAAAGCCAAAAGAGAGGCUUACCACUGUUAAUGGUAUAAGUGAAUAAAAUAAUUCUGGCUAAG
Molecule: transfer RNA, 68 nt
Filed under: Amphionides reynaudii
Lineage: Eukaryota; Metazoa; Arthropoda; Malacostraca; Decapoda; Pandalidae
Description: tRNA-Asn
Source: RNAcentral